GACGAACGCUGGCGGCGUGCUUAACACAUGCAAGUCGAACGGUUAAGGGACCGGUUUUUGCUGCUUCUGGAUGAGAAGCGGACUGGUGAAUAACACGUGAAUACCUUGCCCCCUUCUUCUGGAUCACCGCAUAACAGUGUGGCUAAGACGCUAUAUUCUGCUACUUCUGCCUAGGGCGUGUUGGAAGGCUAUUGGUUCGUUGUGGGAUGGUCUCGCGGCGUCUCAGCUUGUUGUUGGGGUUAUGGCCUGCCAAGGCUGUGAUGGGUAGCCGUCCUGAGAGGGUGGUCGGCCGCACUGGGACGGAGACAGGGACCAGACUGCUACGGGAGGGAGCAGUCGGGAAUCUUCAGCAAUGGAUGCGAGUCUGACCGAGCAAGGCCGGGUGAGUGAGGAAGGUUGUCGGUUUGGAAGAAUCUGUUGUUAGAGAGGAACGAGGAUGAGAGUGGAAAGUUCAUCGCUUGACGGUAUCUAGCCAGAAAGCCACGGCUAACUACGUG
This 497-nucleotide ribosomal RNA is filed under the name uncultured bacterium. Its description in RNAcentral is "partial 16S ribosomal RNA". It matches the Rfam family "Bacterial small subunit ribosomal RNA", at positions 28 to 507 of the family's 1533-position model. The record is from RNAcentral.